AUGGGUCAGCUAUAUAUAAGGGUAAUAACCGACAAUGAAUGGUCAGUCUAAGGAUUUCGGUCAAUGACAAAGUCACAUGUGUCAACAUGUAAGAGAUUGCUUCGUGAAACAUGUCAAAGGCAAGAGAUGACUAUUCAACUUGCACCCACGUGGGGGAGCAGCUGACUUUGUCUCCAGCAAUGAAUGAAGUCCAUCAAUAGAAACUCGCCACAUGACGGUCCAAUCCAAAAGUCAUCCCUAUCUUCGAAAAAUCAUAAAAAAUAGUCCGAGAAUCCGAGAAAUUCACCGAAAAAUACGACGAACUCGUGGAGACAUCUAGUUUCUAAUUCUAAAAAGAAAAACACAUUUUGAGAAAUUUCAAAAUUCGGGAUGUUACAAGUCACCUCUAGUGUAUAUAGGGUUUAUGAUGAUUGAGCAUAGUCACCCUAAUUCCUUUUGGCAUAUGGAGCAUAGUCACCCUAAUUCCUUUUGUGAUGAUCGAUCAAUAGUCGAUCACCUCUAGUGUAUACUUGAUAUAUGAUAAUCAAGCGCUAGUCACCUUUGAUGUAUAUAAGGUUUAUAAUGAUAAGCCAUUAAUAUCAAGUAAUGUCUUAACGUUGGCAUGGUUUACGGUUUAUGAUGAUCGAGUACAAAUGACCUCUCAUGUAUAUAUAGUUUAGAGUUUAUGAUAAUCUAGCAAUAGUCACAUCUCACAUCUAGUGUAUACAUGGUUCAAGGUUUGUGAUGAUGGAUCAAUUAUAUGAUAAUCGAAAUUAAAGUUUUAUGAUCGCAUCUACAAUCAAUUUUCAUAAAAGAGAACCCUAAACCCUAAACCCUAAACCGCAGGGACAAACACGUCGUUUCGCAGCAUAAGUAUGAAACUAUGUAUAUAAAGGAAAUGGAACCCUAGCCGCACUUUCCUCUCUUUCCCUUGCGCGUUUCUCUCUCUCUCUCUNNNNNNNNNNNNNNNNNNNNCUCUCUUCCUUCGUCGCGUUCUCUCUCUCUCUCUCUCUCUCUCUCUCUCUCUCUACCACCGUUUAGCUCGUCACCCUCUCCUCUACCUCCUCCUAAUCACCGAUUGACAUGCAUCCACCUCUUUCUCAAGAUUGAAAUCCAAACCCUAAAUCCCCAAAUCCAAUUUCCGACCGAAUCUCUCCCUCUCUGGCGAACUCGUGCUCCGUGAAGGUAAACCCAUCACUUCUCUCUCGUUUUCACUCCUCCUUGAGCUUUGAUUUCCCUAAAUACAGCCUUAAUCUGAUUUUCUUUUCUUUUGUAUUUCUGGGUUUUGGUCAAAGUUUUCCGGCGACCUCGUCGACUUCUAGGGAGUCCUAUCGUGUUCUAAUGGAGCCGAAGUACGUUUAAGUGGCGUUGUGGAAGUAGCGGGCGGUUCUGGGUUGAGGCAGUGGCUUUCUAGCGAGGGGAGGAUCCAUGUUCUUAUGUUGAUUCUCCGAUUUGGUCUUGGUUAAGCAAGGAGAAGGUUUAGACUUUGUCUAGUUCAUUGAUUUGGAGAAACAGAUGGUAAGUCUCGACCUCUCUUGUUGUUGUGGAAUUACUAUGUUGGUUGUUCUGCGUUGAGUUGUUGAAUUGUUGGUUUUGGAUUUCACGUUGGUACCAUGGCGGAUUUGGAAUUGAAGCAGUGAAGCAAAAGCUAAUGUGUUGGUUCAUAAGGGUAAGGAUUUCCCUUGUUUUGUUGCAGUGUCGUUGUUUUUUGGUUUUGUUAUUGAUGCCUGAUUUGAGUGAGUGUUUUGGUUGCUUGUAUAGUUGUAUGUCGAGAACUUGGUGUUUUGAAGAAUACGGGGAGGUUAUGGCCCGUGUGCUCUUGCCAUUUCCUUACCUUUGUCUUGUGUGCUAGGAGUUUAUGACUCCUUUAUUCCAUGAUUGCCUCAACAAUCAGUGAGUUAUUCUUGUUUUUAUGUAUCAACUUGUUUCUGGUAUGCCUUCCUAAUUCUCACAGUGAUAAUUGUAAUGUUUAAACAUUAGCCUCUGAGUUAUAAAAUUCAUAUUAUAAGUUGAGUACUUAUACAAUUUUAAUGGUCCUGAAUAACUGCUUUUGUGUUAGAGGUUAUUCAUAUAUAGUUAUUUAUAGCUUUGAAAUGUGAUGCUUGUAGUUGCAAAGCAAGUUCCAAGACUAUCAUGGAAACU
Molecule: long non-coding RNA, 2121 nt
Filed under: Fragaria vesca (wild strawberry)
Lineage: Eukaryota; Viridiplantae; Streptophyta; Magnoliopsida; Rosales; Rosaceae
Description: long non-coding RNA (FVES_LNC000279)
Source: RNAcentral